Pristionchus pacificus is the source of this 62-nucleotide non-coding RNA. The record is from Rfam. NCBI's taxonomy places the organism in Eukaryota, Metazoa, Nematoda, Chromadorea, Rhabditida, Neodiplogasteridae.
UCUUCAUUUCCCACACUCUCUCACCAGGUCAGAGAGGCGAGAGAGCGCGUGAAAUGAAGAGA